RNAcentral lists this ribosomal RNA (253 nucleotides) under uncultured bacterium. RNAcentral describes it as "partial 16S ribosomal RNA". It matches the Rfam family "Bacterial small subunit ribosomal RNA", at positions 524 to 776 of the family's 1533-position model. The record is from RNAcentral.
UACGAGGGGGGCGAGCGUUGUUCGGAAUUAUUGGGCGUAAAGGGCGCGUAGGCGGUGCGGUAAGUCACCUGUGAAACCUCUGGGCUCAACUCAGAGCCUGCAGGCGAAACUGCCGUGCUGGAGUGUGGGAGAGGCGCGUGGAAUUGCAGGUGUAGCGGUGAAAUGCGUAGAUAUCUGCAGGAACACCCGUGGCGAAAGCGGCGCGCUGGACCACAACUGACGCUGAGGAACGAAAGCUAGGGGAGCAAACAGG